This is a long non-coding RNA of Gorilla gorilla gorilla (western lowland gorilla), 330 nucleotides long. RefSeq lists it as uncharacterized. The record is from RefSeq and is a predicted model, not a curated record. The transcript is spliced from 3 exons. NCBI's taxonomy places the organism in Eukaryota, Metazoa, Chordata, Mammalia, Primates, Hominidae.
CUUACUGACCUCAUAGGCCUUCACCAACAAGGUUAGAGAUUCCUGUGCCAACAUCAUACUGUUCUAGAAUUACUGGAUCUCUUAUGAGACAGAGUCUUGUUCUGUCGCGCAUGCUGGCGUACAGUGCCACAAUCACAGCUCACCGCAGCUUCCAACUUCUGAACUCACGUGAUCCUUCUGCCUCAGACUUCCAAGUACCUGGGACUGCAGGCACGAAUCACCACAGCCAGCUUGGAGUGACUUUCUAAGGAUAAUUAUUUUAUUGAGUAUUAUUCCAGUCUCCUAAUGCCGAACAUUUUCAGUAAAUAAUCUUCUUUCUCAUCCCUCCAG